UUGGUCACUAGGCAAUGUGGUGUUCAGGUCGUUCCGCAGAGGUUCUGCUCCACCCUAAGUCCAUCAAUGAGUACGGUAGUACGGACAUGGCCCGCAGAGGGUGAAAGGCCCGUGGGGGUGGAGAUUCGGCAGGCCAGAACCUCUCUGGGUAGACCUUGGAGUCGGGUUGUUUGUGAAUGCAGCCCAAAGUGGGUGGUAAACUCCAUCCAAGGCUAAAUACUAGCACGAGUCCGAUAGCGAACAAGUACCGUGAGGGAAAGUUGAAAAGUACUUUGAAGAGAGAGUAAACAGUGCGUGAAACCGCUCAGAGGUAAACAGGUGGAGUUGAACUGCAAGCUUUGAGAAUUCAGCUGGUGAGUGUGGUUUGAGCUUGGUCAAAUUGGUGAACUCCGGGGUCUGCGUAGUAGCAGGUCUCUGCCUUCGGGUGGGGAUGCGCGAUACACUUGUCAAGUGUUGUGCGCUUCGGUUGUUCUUCGGCCUGCUCGUCAGUGCACUUUCUCAGAGUGGUCACCACGACCGGCACUGCUGUCUGGCUGCUAUGGUUAAACCGGUUUUUCAUUGUCCUUGUGGCUUUGUGUUAUCGGGACGGCAGGUAGCUCGUUGACUUGCUUGUGGCUUGCUGCAGGCGUCCGGUUUUCGAGUGUUAUUAGCUGACCUUAGUGGUUCUGUGCAGUGUGUCGGAGGCGGCGGCUUGAGGUGUGUGCAUGCGUUCCUGUUCUGCUGACUUGUCCGGGUUUGGUUAUUUUGUUGCUUGUUCAAGCAGGCCUAAUGAUGGCUCGGAUUCGUUCGGUGGGCGGUUGCGUGUGUGGCACUAAUGCAAGGGCCAAUAGUCUGUGGUGUAGUGGUAGACUUCCACCUGACCCGUCUUGAAACACGGACCAAGGAGAGUAACAUGUGCGCGAGUCAUUGGGCGUUACGAAACCCAGAGGCGCAGUGAAAGUAAAGGUCUGACUCGUUCAGGCUGAGGUGAGAUCCUGUCGUUUCUCACGCGUGGUACUUCCAAGCAUCGAGCGGCAGGCGCAUCACCGGCCCGUCCCAUGGCAGUUGUUUUCGGACAGUUUUCGGUCGGGGCGGAGCAUGAGCGUACAUGUUGAGACCCGAAAGAUGGUGAACUAUGCUUGCGCAGGUUGAAGCCAGAGGAAACUCUGGUGGAGGACCGCAGCGAUUCUGACGUGCAAA
Molecule: ribosomal RNA, 1179 nt
Filed under: Parabrachycoelium longicaecum
Lineage: Eukaryota; Metazoa; Platyhelminthes; Trematoda; Plagiorchiida; Brachycoeliidae
Description: eukaryotic LSU rRNA
Rfam family: Eukaryotic large subunit ribosomal RNA
Source: RNAcentral